GGUUACCUGCGGAAGGAUCAUUACUGAGAAUGCUCUCCGGAGCCCUCAAAUCUUGCGUACCCAUCUUGUACUUGCGGGUGGCCCCCGGGCGCCCGCGAGGAUUCAAACUGUUUGACUUUGUCUGAUUCUUACAAAGAAAACAACUUUCAACAAUGGAUCUCUUGGCUCCGGCAUCGAUGAAGAACGCAGCGAAAUGCGAUAGCUAGUGUGAAUUGCAGAUUUUAGUGAAUCAUCGAGUCUUUGAACGCACAUUGCGCCCUUUGGUAUUCCUCAGGGCAUGCCUAUUCGAGCGUCGUUUCGACCCAGCGCAAGCUGCUUUGGGAGAUCCCGCUUGGGAUUCCUUAAAAUCAUCGGCGGCAGCAGCGAGCCAAACGCAGCAGAUUGCGCGCACCUCGCGGCCGUCGCCGUAAAACCGCUGCCUAGCAGCUCACAGCUCGACCUCGAAUUAGGUAGGGAUACCCGCUGAACUUAAGCAUAUCAAUAGCCGGAGGAAGGAUCGGGACUGAGGAUGCUCUCGGAGCCCUCAAAUCUUGCGUACCAUCGUGUACUUGCGGGUGGCCCCGGGCGCGCUGGAAUUCAAACUGGUUUGACUUUGUCUGAUUCUUACAAAGAAAAACAACUUUCAUCAAUGGAUCUCUUGGCUCCGCAUCAAGAAAAACACACGAAAUGCGAUAGCUAGUGUGAAUUGCAAAUAUUAG
This 698-nucleotide ribosomal RNA is filed under the name Ascomycota sp. shylm126. Its description in RNAcentral is "eukaryotic LSU rRNA". The stretch from base 142 to 295 matches the Rfam family "5.8S ribosomal RNA". The record is from RNAcentral. Lineage: Eukaryota; Fungi; Ascomycota.